CUGAAAUGGUUUGCUUAGGACAAAGGCCCGAGUCUUACCAAGAAUCCAUGAACCGGGUCUUACAUGACUCUCUCAAGAAACUCCACGCACGCAAACUUAGAUUCGCUCUAACCAUUCACGAACAAAAUUCCUCGCCACCAUCACCCAAAACGAAACUCCAUGAAAGAAAUGAAAUGAAUCCAACAGGAACGCGAGUUCAUCUUCCCCAAAACUCCAAGCUAGUGAUCAUCGGGUGCUCUCCAAUUCAAACGAAGUAGGUCACGACGUAACAAAAUCAACGUGUUUCCAUGGAAAAAUCAAAUUCCAAAAUUGAAUCUGAUUCGAAGCUUAAUUCCUUUCGUCUUCGUGCAUGCAUAUGAUUAAAGGAUAUGAAAUUGAUACAAGCAAAGAGAACUUACCAAUUUGAGACUUCGACGCGAAGAUUUCAGGUUCUAAUUUUCCUCUUCGAUCAAUGCUUUAUGGCUUUGUUCGUGAUUUCACUGGUAUUCUUCAAAUCGUCACCUUAUUGAUAAUGAAGAGCGCGUAUUGGUGAAGAGUGUUGUGUUGAAGUGUGAAAGGCCAAUGGAUUCUUGCUCUGAAGAGUGAAGAGAAUCGCCUCCGAAGUUAUUUCGGUGAAUCCCAAUUGAUAAAGGGUGAAUGUUGGGUUCAACUGAACUUGGAUUAUGGCUUGGUGAUUGGACAAGCUAUGGACUUAAUGAUGUUGAUUUGUUACUAUUAGGAAGGUUGCUUAAGCAUAUGGAUUGGGAUAUAUUGAAUGGAUUGAAAUGGUAUUGUGUAAUGAUUAUUGUAGUCUUGUAACUUUGAUUUUUUUUUAUAUUGUUGUAAGAUGGUUGUAAAUGAAAAUGAACCUUGUGAAUUGUAAAUGGGUGUAUGCAAUUUUUAUGGUUAUGAUGGUAAUUGGGUGUAAUGGGAAAGGAAAACAUAUGCACUUGGGAUUGAAUUUGUAUUUGAAUGUAAUAUGGAAUUUGGAUUGAAUUUUCAUGAAAAUGACUUUGAA
Lathyrus oleraceus (garden pea) is the source of this 997-nucleotide long non-coding RNA. RefSeq lists it as uncharacterized. NCBI's taxonomy places the organism in Eukaryota, Viridiplantae, Streptophyta, Magnoliopsida, Fabales, Fabaceae. The transcript has 2 exons. The record is from RefSeq and is a predicted model, not a curated record.